Homo sapiens (human) is the source of this 532-nucleotide long non-coding RNA. Lineage: Eukaryota; Metazoa; Chordata; Mammalia; Primates; Hominidae. The record is from Ensembl.
CCUUUACAUACCCGCCAGACACCUCCAGGAAGUGAGCGCCCGCUGCCUUCGUUCUCCCAACUGGAGCAAACUCUGUGGCGGCGACGAUGGCGGCCGUCAGGUCGGUGGUGAUGAAUAGAGAGGAUUUCUCUGCAGCGCGACGCUCCCCUCUCCCGAAAGGUUGGCUCCACGGUCCCGCCGGCCGCGCAGGUCUGGCUGAACUGCUUGGGGUCGCCCGGCUCCUCUCGAUUUUAUGAAAAUGGCCUAAUUGAGGUGUGCUCUUUUCUUUCCUUCCUCUUUUCAUCUUUUCCUUCCGUCUGCAUUUUCUCUCCUCUGUCUUAGGCUUGGUAUCUUCUUUUCUUUUUAUAUUUGUGUUUUUCUCACCGCCUUUGCUUCCUUCCAUUUCAGUUAUCUUGCUUUUUGUGUGUUCUUUCUUGAUUUCUUUCUUUCCUUUUCUUGUUAUUGCUCACUCUCUGGCUCCGCCACCCACCCCUUGCUCUAUCUUCAUUUUCCCUUUAGUACUUUUCUCCCUAUCUUUCAUCUCACUUACACU